This 746-nucleotide ribosomal RNA is filed under the name uncultured Glomerales. Its description in RNAcentral is "LSU rRNA". It matches the Rfam family "Eukaryotic large subunit ribosomal RNA", at positions 38 to 633 of the family's 3401-position model. Lineage: Eukaryota; Fungi; Glomeromycota; Glomeromycetes; Glomerales; Glomeraceae. The record is from RNAcentral.
GCAUAUCAAUAAGCGGAGGAAAAGAAAAUAACAAUGAUUCCCUUAGUAACGGCGAGUGAAGGGGGAUAAGCUCAAAUUUUAAAUCUACCAGGUUAACCUGGUCGAGUUGUAAUUUGAAGAAGCGUUUUCCGCGUCCGGGUCGGCCCAAAUCCUUUGGGAUAAGGUAUCAUGGAGGGUGAGAAUCCCGUUCGGCUGACCUUAGGAUGCUUUACGAUACGCUCUCAAAGAGUCGAGUUGUUUGGGAUUGCAGCUCAAAAUGGGAGGUAAAUUUCUCCUAAGGCUAAAUACCGGCGAGAGACCGAUAGCGAACAAGUACCGUGAGGGAAAGAUGAAAAGAACUUUGAAAAGAGAGUUAAAUAGUACGUGAAAUUGUUGAAAGGGAAACGAUUGAAGUCAGUCGUACCGGCGGGAAAUCAGCUUCUCGAGUGGGGGUUCGCGGGUGCGUGGAGCUUCGGCCUUCGUCGCUUGUGACACCUUUUGCUUCUGGAGCGUACUUUUCCGUGUGGUAGGUCAACAUCGGUUUCGAUUGCCAUAAAAUGACCGGAGGAAUGUGGCUUCGAUCUUGUAUUGGAGUGUUAUAGCCUCUGGUAGAUGUGGUGGUUGGGAUCGAGGAUUGCAACGAAUACCCUUUGGGCUAUCCGCCUGACCUCUGAAAGUCGCUUGGGUACCGAAAGCUUGCUUACGGUCAUUUAAGUUGGCGGUCAAAAGGUUAGAACGUGAUUAAAUUCGUUAAGGAUGUUGACGUA